Molecule: ribosomal RNA, 262 nt
Filed under: uncultured bacterium
Lineage: Bacteria
Description: partial 16S ribosomal RNA
Rfam family: Bacterial small subunit ribosomal RNA
Source: RNAcentral
GUCCACGCUGUAAACGUUGGGCACUAGGUGUGGGACUCUAUCGACGGGUUCCGUGCCGUAGCUAACGCAUUAAGUGCCCCGCCUGGGGAGUACGGCCGCAAGGCUAAAACUCAAAGGAAUUGACGGGGGCCCGCACAAGCGGCGGAGCAUGUGGCUUAAUUCGAUGCAACGCGAAGAACCUUACCUGGGCUUGACAUUUAGGGAAAAGCCGUAGAAAUACGGUGUCCUUCGGGCCCGUAAACAGGUGGUGCAUGGCUGUCGU